This 1277-nucleotide ribosomal RNA is filed under the name Xyloredo nooi. RNAcentral's name for it is "16S ribosomal RNA". The stretch from base 613 to 1277 matches the Rfam family "Archaeal large subunit ribosomal RNA", at positions 1423 to 2795 of the family's 2987-position model. Lineage: Eukaryota; Metazoa; Mollusca; Bivalvia; Myida; Pholadidae. The record is from RNAcentral.
GAGUUGUUGCCCGCUCUUCUGAAAAAAGUUUUUUCUUUAAAAAAAUCUUUUUUCAGCUGUAUUGUGAAAGAGUGUUAUUGGUUAUUUGUUUUGAAAAAGAAGGGAUGUUUUGUAGUGGAUGAGGUUUGUUCUCUUACUUUUUGUAUCAUGGCGUGUAGAGGGUUUUAGUUUUAUUCUAGCUCCUGAAAGCCUUAGAGCCACCCCGCUUAAUGUGUGUGUUGUUGAAUUACUGUUUCUAAGGGCGGGGUAGUUGUGACAUGUUUGUCGAAAAGGUUGAUAGCUGGUUAGGGGGGAAACAUAUGUGAGUAUGGGUGUUCAUUAAAGCCGUGGGUGGUAUUUAUUAAAUUAACCAUUGGCCCGUGGGUAGCCAGCCUUCCAGGGUUAAUCUUGGUAGGAAUAGGUGUUAGUUCUAUUAGGUUAAAGAGUUUAGUAGAGUUAGAAUUUCUUAUCUUUUGGAUUUUUUUCUAAAUUAACUUUUUUUUUUUUUCAUUAAAGUACCCCCUCUCCUAUUAUAUAUUUUAUUUAGGGGAUUAGUAUGCGAUUAGUAUGUGAGAGAAGUGGUAUGUAGAGUGGUUUGGAGUCUUGAGAUAAAAUUGAUUAGUGUGAUGUUGGUUUCGAAAAAAGAAAGUUUGAGUGUUAAGUGUUAUGUGGUUGUAAGGAACUAGGCAAAUAUUAUCUCCGCCUGUUUAUUAAAAACAUGGCUUUUAGGGGGACUAGUAUUAAAAGUCGGGCCUGCCCGGUGGGUUGUUUAAACGGUUGCCAUUGGUGGUGGUACUAAGGUAGCGUAAUGAUUUGUCCUUUGAUUGGGGAACGGUAUGAAUGGUUUGACGUGAGGUGUUCUGUCUCACAGUUAGUGCUUGAAGUUUUCUUUUGGGUGAAAAGACUCAAGUUUUUUUAAAAGACGAGAAGACCCCGUCGAGCUUGUUAAGACUUCUGGCUUAUUGGAAGGAGUGUAUUUUUUGUUGGGGCAACAGGAAGAAAAAUUAACUCUUCUUAGUAGUUAUGGAUCCCCUUUUAGGGAAAAGAAGAAAAAGCUACCGCGGGGAUAACAGCGUAAUUUUCUUGAAGAGGACUUAUCAGAAAGAAAGGUUGCGACCUCGAUGUUGAAUUAGGGUGUAAUCCGGGCGCAGUAGCUUGGAUAGUAGGCCUGUUCGUCCUUUAAAACCUUACAUGAUUUGAGUUUAAAUCGGCGUGAGCUAGGUUGGUUUCUAUCUUUAUUUUUGUCUUUCUAUGUACGAAAGGACCAGGGAGUCGGUAGUUUUAUCUUUUUUAGUGUG